RNAcentral lists this ribosomal RNA (497 nucleotides) under uncultured bacterium. RNAcentral's name for it is "partial 16S ribosomal RNA". It matches the Rfam family "Bacterial small subunit ribosomal RNA", at positions 28 to 507 of the family's 1533-position model. The record is from RNAcentral.
GAUGAACGCUGGCGGCGUGCCUAAUACAUGCAAGUCGAGCGAACAGUCGAGGAUCUUGCUCCUCUGACGUUAGCGGCGGACGGGUGAGUAACACGUGGCUAACCUACCUAUAAGACAGGGCUAACUUCGGGACACCGGAACAAAUACCGGAUAAUAUAUUCAACCGCAUUGUUUAAUAGUGAAAGACGGUUUUGGUGACCCUUAUAUAUGGAUACGUGCUGGAUUAGCUAGUUGGUAAGGUAACGGCUUACCAAGGCAACGAGUGAUAGCCGACCAGAGAGGAUGGAAGGCCACCGUGGAACAGGGGCACGGGCCAGACUCCUACGGAGGGACGGAGUAGGGAAUCUUCGGCGAUAGGCGAGAGCCUGACGGAGCAACGCCGCGUGAGUGAUGAAGGACUUCGGAUCUUAAAGCACUGUUAUUAGGGAAUGACAAAUGUUUAAGGAACUAUACACGUAUUGACGGUACCUAAUCAGAGAGGCACGGCUAACUUCGUG